Molecule: transfer RNA, 74 nt
Filed under: Ictidomys tridecemlineatus (thirteen-lined ground squirrel)
Lineage: Eukaryota; Metazoa; Chordata; Mammalia; Rodentia; Sciuridae
Description: Spermophilus tridecemlineatus (thirteen-lined ground squirrel) tRNA
Rfam family: tRNA
About the family: Transfer RNA (tRNA) molecules are approximately 80 nucleotides in length.
Source: Rfam by way of RNAcentral
GGGGUUGUGGCUCAAUGGUAGAGCACUUGCCUACUACAUGUGUGAGGCACUGGGUUUGAUUCUCAGCACCACCU